AAUCAACGCUGGCGGCGUGCCUAACACAUGCAAGUCGCACGAGAAAGGGGAGCAAUCCCUGAGUAAAGUGGCGCACGGGUGAGUAACACGUGACUAACCUACCCUCGAGUGGGGAAUAACCUAGAGAAAUCUGGGCUAAUACCGCAUAACACUUACGAGUCAAAGCAGCAAUGCGCUUGAGGAGGGGGUCGCGGCAGAUUAGCUAGUUGGCGGGGUAAUGGCCCACCAAGGCAAUGAUCUGUAUCCGGCCUGAGAGGGCGCACGGACACACUGGAACUGAAACACGGUCCAGACUCCUACGGGAGGCAGCGGUGGGGAAUUUUGCGCAAUGGGGGAAACCCUGACGCAGCAACGCCGCGUGGAGGAUGAAAUCCCUUGGGAUGUAAACUCCUCUCGAUAGGGAAGAUAAUGACGGUACCUAUAGAAGAA
This 429-nucleotide ribosomal RNA is filed under the name uncultured bacterium. Its description in RNAcentral is "bacterial SSU rRNA". It matches the Rfam family "Bacterial small subunit ribosomal RNA", at positions 32 to 489 of the family's 1533-position model. The record is from RNAcentral.